RNAcentral lists this transfer RNA (68 nucleotides) under Onthophagus bonasus. Its description in RNAcentral is "tRNA-Leu". The record is from RNAcentral. Lineage: Eukaryota; Metazoa; Arthropoda; Insecta; Coleoptera; Scarabaeidae.
AUUACUUUGGCAGAAUAGUGUUUUAAAUUUAGAAUUUAAUUAAGUAUAUUUUUUAUAUACAAGUAAUA